RNAcentral lists this long non-coding RNA (29793 nucleotides) under Triticum aestivum (bread wheat). Its description in RNAcentral is "long non-coding RNA (TAES_LNC005782)". The stretch from base 22288 to 22374 matches the Rfam family "MIR1120/MIR1122 microRNA precursor family". The record is from RNAcentral. Lineage: Eukaryota; Viridiplantae; Streptophyta; Magnoliopsida; Poales; Poaceae.
GGCAUCGUCGGGGGCGGGGACACCGGGGCCACGGGCGCGGGCAUCGGGGUGGCCGCCGGGGCCUGGGCCGCGGUGGCGGCGAACAGCAUGGUCAGGGCCAGAGCCACGAGCUGGAUGCGCGCCAUUGCAGGAGUGAAGAGGAGAGCUUGAGCUUGAGCUUGGGGUGGCUUCUGCUUCUGCUUGAGGUGGUGCUGGUGGUGGUGUGUACUGUAAUGGUGUCCGAGACGGUAUUGGGCCGGGAGAUUAUAAAGGGGCCGCGGACGGGGCCACGACGACGAAUUACAAGAUGUGUCAGGGGCCUUCCUGCUAAUUUGCGCGCCGGGUAGCCGUCCGAUCGACAUCCAACAGCUGGUCCGGGUGGAAAGCUUCAACUCUUUUUUCUUCUCCGAACUUCUGACUUCUGAACAGCAAGCAAGCAAGUUUUUUUCCAAACGAUCAGAAAAAAUCUAGUUCAAUCCCAACAGCUGGCGGACAUAAUUUCUUUCUUUUGGUUCAUGGAAAAUUCUCCCGCGAUCGCCUUGCCUAAUUCUGUUUCUCGUUAUGGUUCACGCGUGGUUCUGGUCGACGGUGAGCUGGGUUUCUCUUCCUGUUUUUGCCUUGCCUAAUUUUGUCUUCUGGACGAUCAAUGCAAAAUGGCAAGUAGCUAGUGAGCCAAUUGGCCCACGCGUUCGCAAUGUCCCUUACAACCACAAUAAAAUGUCAGACUUCAAAACAAUAUUACUUCGAAAGUCAAGGUCACGCGUAAAUGUGAAAUGGCAAGUUUCUUUUAGGGUUGUGUGAAAUACCAAGUGGUAUUUGCUAAUGAGCCGAUUGGCUCACGCGUUUGCGGAGUUAUUGCAUCAAGUUUUUCUUUACAAGGAUGAUAAAAAGUCAGAUUUCAAAAACAAAGUUACUUCCAAAGUCAAAGUGCUUUUUCUCGCAAUUACAUGGGCGACGCACGCGCAGACACGCAUGCGCCAACGUGAAAUAUCAAGAAGUAUUUGCUAGUGAGCCGAUUGGCUCACACGAUUGCGAUGUUUGUGCAUCGAGUUUUCUUUACAAGGAUAAUGGAGGUCCAUUUUCAACAGCAAGGUUGCCUCCAAGGUCAAGGUGCUUCUUUAUGCAGUUACAACACACACGUAGACACGCACACACGCACUCAGAACCUUAUAAAUUUGGAGAAUUUUUUUCCUUUUCUUUUUGAGGCAACCUUGCUGUUGAAAACUAAAGUUGAGAGAGAGUUUAGUCCCACCCUGAAAGUUGAGAGUUGCACCUCUUUAUAAAGUGAGCUCUUCUACCACUUGUAUGAGCAUGAGAAGAGGAGACCCAAUUCUCACAGACUACGACGUUAAUAGUCAAAUUCAUAUAGGUGUGUUCCUUAGAAGAUGUUCUGCAGGACAACAUCUCUGCUUACCCGAAUAAGCCACUUGGAACACAUUAAGAUAAGUAUCAACCUGCCAUGCAGAUCAAGAGAGUAUUGCAUCUUCACGGAGUGGGAUAAUUAAUAUAGGGAUACUCUCCUCCCAGCUGACCAACAGCUUGUCUCCCACUUCUACUUCACGGGAUCUCCGAUCAUAUAGAGUGGUUUACCACUAUGGACAACUCAUGCGGUGGGUCUCAAACCCAUCUCUAUCGAUGCAUCAUCUAUCACAUUACAUGAUAGACCAUUUGUGAAGGGAUCUGCCAAGUUUUUCGACGUUUGGAUAUAAUCCAACGUAAUAAAUCCGGAGUUCCUCAAUUUUCUGACAGAUUUUAGUCUCCUCUUCACAUGCCUUGAGGACUUCAUAUUGUCCUUAGAACUGUUUAUCUUGACGAUCACAGUUUGAUUAUCACAGUUCAUCAGGAUAGGGGGGAUUGGUUUUUCAACCAUAGGUAAGUCCAUCAAGAGUUCACGAAGCCACUCUGCUUCAACAGUGGCAGUGUCUAAUGCUGUGAGUUCUGCUUCCAUAGUUGACCUUGUUAAGAUGGUCUGCUCGCAAGACUUCCAGGAAACAGCACCACCACCAAGUGUAAAAACAUAACCACUUGUGGCCUUAAUCUCAUUAGCAUCAGAUAUCCAGUUUGAGUCACUAUAACCCUCCAGUACCCUUGGAUACCCGGUGUAGUGAAUCCCAUAGCUCGCGGUGCCUUUCAAAUAGCGCAUAACUCUCUUAAGCACAUGCCAAUGAUCAUCUCCCAGUUUUGACACAAACCAACUCAGCUUGCUCACAGCAAAAGAGAUGUCAGGCCUCGUGGCACUCGCCAAAUACAUAAGCGAGCCAAUAAUCUGAGAAUACCUCAGUUGAUCUCUAGCAAUCCGUCGAUUCUUUCGAAGCAACACACUAGCAUCAUAUGGAGUUGGAGAAGGCGUGCAGUCGCUAUACCCAAAACAACUCAAGACCUUUUCCACAUAAUGAGACUGAAGCAGUGUGAUCCCACCAUUCUCAUCUCUCAACAGCUUGAUGUUUAAGUUAACAUCAGUUACUCCUAGAUCCUUCAUCUCAAAACAGCGAGAUAAGAAAUCCUUAACCUCCUUGAUUAAAUCAAGUUUGGUUCCAAAGAUCAAUAUGUCGUCGACAUACAGACAAAGAAUAACUCCUUCGCCCCCAUGCUACGUCUCGAGCUAGCGUUGGUUUUCUCCGAAGAGGAGGGGGUGAUGCAGCACAGUAGCGUAAGUAUUUCCCUCAGUUUUUGAGAACCAAGGUAUCAAUCCAGUAGGAGGUCACGCGCAAGUCCCUCGUACCAACACAAAACGGUAGCAACUCGCAACCAACGCUUAGGGGUUGUCAAUCCCUUCACGGUCACUUACGAGAGUGAGAUCUGAUAGAGAUAAUAUUUUUGGUAUUUUUGGUAUAAAGAUGCAAAGUAAAAAGUAAAAGCAAAACAAGUAAAAUAAAUUAAUGGAGAUUGAUAUGAUGAGAAUAGACCCGGGGGCCAUAGGUUUCACUAGUGGCUUCUCUCAAGAGCAUAGAUAUUCUACGGUGGGUGAACAAAUUACUGUUGAGCAAUUGAUAGAAUUGAGCAUAGUUAUGAGGUUAUCUAGUUAUGAUCAUGUAUAUAGGCAUCACGUCCGUGACAACUAGACCGACUCCUGCCUGCAUCUACUACUAUUACUCCACUCAUCGACCGCUAUCCAGCAUGCAUCUAGAAUAUUAAGUUAAAAACAGAGUAACACCUUAAGCAAGAUGACAUGAUGUAGAGGAAUAAAUUCAUGCAAUAUGAUAAAUACCCCAUCUUGUUAUCCUCGAUGGCAACAAUACAAUACGUGCCUUGCAACUCUUUCUGUCACUGAGUAAGGACACCGCAAGAUUGAACCCAAAGCUAAGCACUUCUCCCAUUGCAAGAACUACCAAUCUAGUUGACCAAACCAAACGGAUAAUUCGAAGAGACUUGCAAAGAUAACUCAAUUAUACAUAAAAGAAUUCAGAGAAGAUUCAAAUAUUAUUCAUAGAUAAGUUGGAUCAUAAACCCACAAUUCAUUGGUCUUAACAAACACACCGCAAAAAGAAGAUUACAUCGAAUAGAUCUCCACGAGAGAGGGGGAGAACAUUGUAUUGAGAUCCAAAAAGAGAGAAGAAGCCAUUUAGCUACUAGCUAUGGACCCGAAGGUCUGAAGUAAACUACUCACACUUCAUCGGAAGGGCUAUAGUGUUGAUGUAGAAGCCCUCCGUGAUGGAUGCCCUCUCUGGCAGAGCUCCGGAACAGGCCCCAAAAUGGGAUCUCGUGGAUACAGGAAGUUGCGGCGGUGGAAUUAGGUUUUUGGCUCCCUCCCUGGUCUAAUGGGGGUAUGUAGGUAUAUAUAGGAGGAAGGAGCACGUCGGUGGAGCUCCGAGGGGCCCACGAGGCAGGGGCGCACCCAGGGGGCGCCCUCCACCCUCGUGACCUCCCCGGAAACUUCUUGGAGUAGGGUCCAAGUCUACUGAAUCACGUUCGGUGAGAAGAUCACGUUCCCGAAGGUUUCAUUCCGUUUGGACUCCGUUUGAUAUUCUGUUUCCUAGAAAUACUGAAAUAGGAAAAAAACAGCAAUUCUGGGCCGGGCCUCCGGUUAAUAGGUUAGUCUUAAAAAUAAUAUAAAAGUGAAAAAUAAAACCCAAUAUAGUCCAAAAUAGUAGAUAAAGUAGCAUGGAACAAUCAAAAAUUAAAGAUACGUUGGAGACGUAUCAGACAUCCCCAAGCUUAAUUCCUGCUCGUCCUCGAGUAGGUAAAUGAUAAAAAGAGAAUUUUUGAUGCGGAGUGAUACUUUGGCAUAAUUUCAAUGUAAAUCUUCUUAAUCAUGGUAUGAAUAUUCAGAUCCGAAAGGUUCAAGACAAAAGUUCAUAUUGACAUAAAAAUGAUAAUACUUCAAGCAUACUAAUCAAACAAUUAUGUCAUCUCAAAAUAACAUGGCCAAAGGAAGUUCAUCCCUACAAAAUCAUAUAGUUAGGCUAUGCUUCAUUUUCGUCACACAAAGAUGUUCCCAACUUUUAUACCCCCGAUGACAAGCCAAGCAAUUGUUUCAUACUCAAAUAAUCUCAAACUUUUUCAACCUUCACGCAAUACAUGAGCGCGAGCCAUGGACAUAGCACUAUGGGUGGUAUAGAAUAUGAUGAUGGGGAUUGUGUGGAGAAGACAAAAAAGGAGAAAGUCUCACAUCAACGAGGCUAAUCAAUGAGCUAUGGAGAUGCCCAUCAAUUGAUGUUAAUGCAAGGAGUAGGGAUUGCCAUGCAACGGAUGCACUAGAGCUAAGAAUGCUCAACAAAAGAAAACUAGUGGGUGUGCAUCCAACUUGCUUGCUCAUGAAGACCUAGGGCAUUUUGAGGAAGCUCAUCGUUGGAAUAUACAAGCCAAGUUCUAUAAUGAAAAAUUCCCACUAGUAUGAAUAAGACAACUUAUGAGACUCACUAUAUGAAAAUCAUGGUGCUACUUUGAAGCACAAUAUAUGAGACUCACUACAUGAAGAACAAGGUGCUACUUUGAAGCACAAGUGUGGAAAAAAGAGAUAGUAGCAUUGCCCUUUUUAUUUUCUCUUUUUUGGGGGGCCUUUCUUUUUUUUUUUGGCCUUUCUCUCUCUUUUUUUGAUUGGGCAAUGCUCUAAUAAUGAUGAUCAUCACACUUCUAUUGAUUACAACAUAAUGAUUACAACUCGAUACUAGAACAAGAUAUGACUCUAUAUGAAUGCCUCCGGUGGUGUACCAUGAUGGUGCAAUGAAUCAAGAGUGACAUGUAUGAAAAAUAAUGCAUGGUGGCUUUGCCACAAAUACGAUGUCAACUACAAGAUCAUGCAAUGACAAUAUGACAAAAGUAAAGCAUGUCAUGAUGAUGAUGAUGAUGAUGGAAGUUGCAUGGCAAUAUAUCUCGGAAUGGCUAUGGAAAUGCCAUGAUAGAUAGGUAUGGUGGCUGUUUUGAGGAAGGUAUAGGGAGGUUUAUGUGUGAAAGAGCGUGUCAUAUCAUGGGGUUUGGAUGCACCGGCGAAGUUUGCACCAACUCUCAAUGUGAGAAAGGGUAAUGCACGGUACCGAAGAGGCUAGCAAAUGGCGGAAAGGUAAAAGUGCGUAUAAUCCAUGGACUCAACAUUAGUCAAAAGAACUCAUAUACUUAUUACAAAAAUUUAGAAGUCAUCAAAAAUCAAGCACUACGCGCAUGCUCCUAGGGGGAUAGAUUGGUAGGAAAAGACCAUCGCUCGUCCCCGACCGCCACUCAUAAGGAUGCACAAGCCAGGUACACUUCAUGCUUUAAAUUUGUUACACAAUUUUAACCAUACGUGCAUGCUACGGGACUUGCUAACUUCAACACAAGUAUUUCUCAGAUUCACAACUACUCAACUAGCACGACUAUGAUAUUAUCACCUCCAUAUCUCAAAACAAUUAUCAAGUAUCAAACUUAUCUUAGUAUUCAACCCACUAAAAAGAAAGUUUCACAUAUCUUGAAUACCAAGUAUAUUAACAUUAAGCAAAUUACCAUGCUAUUAACGACUCUCAAAAUAAUCUAAGUGAAGCAUGAGAGAUCAAGUUUCUUUAAAACAAACCACCACCGUGCUCUAAAAGAUCUAAGUGAAGCACUAGAGCAAAAAUUAUCAUGCUCAAAAAGAUAUAAGUGAAGCACAUAGAGUAAACUAUCAAGCUCAAAAGAUAUAAGUGAAGCACAUAGAGUAUUCUACCAAAUUUCAAUUCAUGCAUGGCUCUCUCAAAAGGUGUGUACAGCAAGGAUGAUUGUGGUAGACUAACAAGAAAAGACACAAAUAAUACAAGAUGCUCCAAGCAAAACACAUAUCAUGUGGUGAAUAAAAAUAUUGCUCCAAGUAAAUUACCGAUGGAAGUGGACGAAAGAGGGGAUGCCUUCCGGGGCAUCCCCAAGCUUUGACUUUUUGGUAUCGUUGGAUUAUCUUGGGGGUGCCAUGGGCAUCCCAAGCUUAGGCUCUUGCCACUCCUUGUUCCAUAAUCCAUCAAAAGAAUUCACCCAAAACUUGAAAACUUCACAACACAAAACUCAAUAGAAAUCUCGUGAGCUCCGUUAGAGAAAGAAAAUAAAAGACUACUUUAAGGUACUGUAGUGUACUUGUUCUUUAUUUGUAUUGGUGUUAAACCUACUGUAUUCCAAUUUCUCUAUGGUUUAUAAACUAUUUUACUAGCCAUAGAUUUAUCAAAAUAAGCAAAUAACACACGCAAAACAGAAUCUGUCAAAAACAGAACAGUCUGUAGUAAUCUGUUACUAACGCAAACUUCUAGAACCCAAAAAAUUCUACCAAAAUUAGACGACCUGGGCAAUUUGUUUAUUGAUCAGCAGCAAUUGGAAUCACUAUUUUAUCACGUUCUGGUGAUUUUUGACAAUUCGGGCACUGAGCGCAAAGAUUCUGGAAAUUACAGCAAGAUCAAAUAACUAUCUUUCAAGAAGAUCUAAUAGGUUUAACUUGGCACAAACACUAAUUAAAAGAUAAAACCACAUCUAAACAGAAUAUAAAUGGAUUAUUUAUUCCUAAACAGAACCAAAAACAAAAAAUACAAAAUAAAAUUGGGUUGCCUCCCAACAAGCGCUAUCGUUUAACGCCCCUAGCUAGGCAUAAAAGCAAGGAUAGGUCUAGGUAUUGCCAUCUUUGGUAGGCAAUUCUUCAAUGAGGCAUCCACCUCCUUUAGAAUUUUCUUUCUUUCUAGUGAUUAUCAAACUUUUAGGCAUAAGAUCGAAAAAUUCAUCCGUGGCAAAUGGUUCCUUAAUGAGUGUAAAAAGAUCGGGGUGAAUACUUAUAGAUUUAAGAUCCGCAUUUUCCUUACUAGAUGAUUCACCCUUAUUUUUAGGAACAUACAUAAACUUGGCAAUUUUAGUGGGAGGACUAGGAGUAAUUUUUACGGAAGAAAAAGCAGUUCCCAAGUUGGUAAUGAUACCCUCAAGUUUAUCGAUUCGAGUAGAGUCUAGAUUUAUUUUUUUCAUUAACAAUGGGUUCCUUCUCCUUAAUAUUUUUCAAAGUCACUCCUACCUUAGAUCCAUAUUGAGUAAUUUGAUUAUGAAUCUUUUUAUCUAGAUUUUCAAUGGAUUCAAUGGUAGCAACUUUGUUUUCAAUAAUUUCAAGCAUUUGCAUAACAUGCUCCAAGGUUAACACAGUUCCAUUAACCAAAAGGGGAGGUGAGCCAAAUAAAUCUAUUAAAGCAUUAUAGGAAUCAAAAGUAUGGCUACCCAAAAAAUUCCCUCCGGUAAUGGUAUCAAGGAUAUAUCUAUACCAAGGAUUAGCACCUACAUAAAAAUUGUGAAGAAGGACUGAAGUAGAUUGCUUUCUGGUAGAUCUAUUUUGAGCAUUGCAAAUUCUAUACCAAGCAUCUUUUAGAUUUUCUCCCUCCCUUUGUUUAAAAUUUAGCACUUCAUUCUCGGGAGAUAACGGAGAAGAUAAGGAAUUCGACAUAGCGACAGGUAAGCAAACUAACACACGAGCAAACAAAAGGCAAAGGGAAAGAGAGGGCGAAUAAAGCGGCAAAGGUGAAGUGGGGGAGAGGAAAACGAGAGGCAAAUGGCAAAUAAUGUAAUGCGAGAGAUAGAGAUUGUGAUGGGUACUUGGUAUGUUGACUUUUGCGUAGGCUUCCCCGGCAACGGCGCCAGAAAUGGCUCGUUGACGGGAGAGUAAAUCUUGACUUGACUUGGCAUAGGCCUCCCCGGCAACGGCGCCAGAAAUGGCUCGUUGACGGGAGAGUAAAUCUUGACUUGACUUGGCGUAGGCCUCCCCGACAACGGCGCCAGAAAUCCUUCUUGCUAUGUCUCGAGCUAGCGUUGGUUUUCCCCGAAGAAGAGGGGGUGAUGCAGCACAGUAGCGUAAGUAUUUCCCUCAGUUUUUGAGAACCAAGGUAUCAAUCCAGUAGGAGGUCACGCGCAAGUCCCUCGUACCUGCACAAAACGGUAGCAACUCGCAACCAACACUUAGGGGUUGUCAAUCCCUUCAUGGUCACUUACGAGAGUGAGAUCUGAUAGAGAUAAUUUUUUUGGUAUUUUUGGUAUAAAGAUGCAAAGUAAAAAGUAAAAGCAAAACAAGUAAAAUAAAGUAAUGGAGAUUGAUAUGAUGAGAAUAGACCCGGGGGCCAUAGGUUUCACUAGUGGCUUCUCUCAAGAGCAUAGAUAUUCUACGGUGGGUGAACAAAUUACUGUUGAGCAAUUGAUAGAAUUGAGCAUAGUUAUGAGGUUAUCUAGGUAUGAUCAUGUAUAUAGGCAUCACGUCCGUGACAAGUAGACCGACUCCUGCCUGCAUCUACUACUAUUACUCCACUCAUCGACUGCUAUCCAGCAUGCAUCUAGAGUAUUAAGUUAAAAACAGAGUAACGCCUUAAGCAAGAUGACAUGAUGUAGAGGAAUAAAUUCAUGCAAUAUGAUAAAUACCCCAUCUUGUUAUCCUUGAUGGCAACAAUAUAAUACGUGCCUUGCAACUCUUUCUGUCACUGAGUAAGGACACCGCAAGAUUGAACCCAAAGCUAAGCACUUCUCCUAUUGCAAGAACUACCAAUCUAGUUGGCCAAACCAAACGGAUAAUUCGAAGAGACUUGCAAAGAUAACUCAAUCAUACAUAAAAGAAUUCAGAGAAGAUUCAAAUAUUAUUCAUAGAUAAGUUGGAUCAUAAACCCACAAUUCAUCGGUCUCAACAAACACACCGCAAAAAGAAGAUUACAUCGAAUAGAUCUCCACGAGAGAGGGGGAGAAUAUUGUAUUGAGAUCCAAAAAGAGAGAAAAGGCCAUCUAGCUACUAGCUAUGGACCCUAAGGUCUGAAGUAAACUACUCACACUUCAUCGGAAGGGCUAUGGUGUUGAUGUAGAAGCCCUCCAUGAUGGAUGCCCUCUCCGGCGGAGCUCCGGAACAGGCCCCAAGAUGGGAUCUCGUGGAUACAGGAAGUUGCGGUGGUGGAAUUAGGUUUUUGGCUCCCUCCCUGGUCUAAUGGGGGUACGUAGGUAUAUAUAGGAGGAAGGAGCACGUCGGUGGAGCUCCGAGGGGCCCAUGAGGUAGGGGGGCGCGCCCAGGGGGGCGCCCUCCACCCUCGUGACCUCCCCGGUAACUUUUUGGAGUAGGGUCCAAGUCUCCUGGAUCAUGUUUGGUGAGAAGAUCACGUUCCCGAAGGUUUCAUUCCGUUUGGACUCCGUUUGAUAUUCUGUUUCCUCGAAAUACUGAAAUAGGGAAAAAACAGCAAUUCUGGGCUGGGCCUCCAGUUAAUAGGUUAGUCCCAAAAAUAAUAUAAAAGUGGAAAAUAAAGCCCAAUAUAGUCCAAAACAGUAGAUAAAAUAGCAUGGAGCAAUCAAAAAUUAUAGAUACGUUGGAGACGUAUCACCCCACCAUAGCGAUAGUACACGCACUUGUCACCAUCGUUUACUACAAAGCCGGCAGCAGUUAAUGUUCUUUCGAACUUCUCAUGCCACUCCUUAGGAGCUUGUUUAAGGCCAUAUAAAGACUUUAAUAACUUGCACACCUUUCCUUCUUGACCAGGUACUACAAAACCAUCUGGCUGAUCCAUGUAAAUUUCCUCCUUCAACUCUCCAUUGAGGAAAGCCGUCUUAACGUCCAUUUGAUGAACGAGAAGACCAUGUGAGGCAGCCAGUGAUAGUAGCACCCGAAUUGUGGUCAGUCUAGCCACGGGUGAGUAAGUAUCAAAGAAGUCUUCACCUUCUUCCUGGGUAUAACCCUUGGCCACAAGCCGUGCCUUAUACUUUUCAAUCAUACCAUCAGGUGUAAGCUUCUUCUUGAACACCCACUUACAUCCUACAGGUUUGCACCCAUAAGGACGGUCAGUGAUCUCCCAGGUACCGUUAGCUAAGAUGGAAUCCAUCUCGCUAUGUAUAGCUUCCUUCCAGUAGUCAGCAUCAGGAGAUGCAUAGGCUUCUGAAAUAGUCCUGGGUGUGUCAUCCACGAGGUACACAAUGAAAUCAUCACCAAAAGACUUUGUAGUGCUCUGUCUCUUACUCCUCAUAGGAGUUCCAUUGUUACCCUCAACAGGAUUCUCAACGUGUUCCAUCGCAAUGGUGGGUUCAGGAAUUACAGUGAAUUCCUCACUAGAUGGAGUAGGUAUCUCCUGAUUUGAUGAACUCGACAUAUCCUUCAUAGGAAAUAUGUCCUCAAAGAAAAUUGCAUCAUUUGAUUCCAUAAUCGUACCAACAUGCAUGUCGGAUACCUCAGAUUUUAUUAUCAAAAAUCUAUAGCCGAUGCUAUGAAAAGCAUAGCCCAGAAGAACACAAUUCACGGUUUUUGGUCCAAGCUUGCGCUUCUUGGGAAUUGGUAUAUUGACUUUCGCCAAACAACCCCAAGUACGUAGGUAAGAGAGUUUCAACAUUUUCCUUUCCCAUUCCUCAAAUGGAGUCAUGGUCUUAUGCUUUGUAGGAACUCGGUUUAGGACAUGACACGCAGUCAUUAGCGCCUCCCCCCACAAUUCCUUGGAUAGACCCGAAGUGUCUAACAUGGUGUUAACCAUAUCAGUUAGAGUUCGGUUAUUUCUUUCGACUACCCCAUUUGACUGGGGUGAGUAGGGAGGCGUCCUCUCAUGGAUUAUACCAUGUUCCACAUAAAACAGAUCAAAUUCAUUGGAAAAAUACUCUCCACCACGAUCGGACCUAAGCCGUUUAAUUUUUCGAUCAAGUUGGUUCUCUACCUCAGCUUUAUAGUUUUUAAAGAAAGUCAAAGCCUCAUCUUUUGAUUUCAGAAGAUACACAUAACAAUAUCUAGUGGAGUCAUCAAUCAACGUCAUGAAGUAUCUCUUUCCACCUUUUGUCAACACGCCAUUCAUCUCACAAAGAUCAGAAUGUAUAAGCUCUAGUGGCGCCAAGUCUCUUGCCUCUGCAGUCUUAUGGGACUUGCGAAGUUGCUUAGUUUGCACACAUACUUGGCACUUCGAGCCUUUGACAGUAGAGAUUUUCGGAAUUAAAUUCAUAUUGGCUAACCGCGUCAUGCAACCAAAGUUAAUAUGACAGAGUCGUGAAUGCCAAAUAUCAGACUCAUUAUUGUGGCAAACAUUAUUAAUAACUUUAGUGCAAAUAUCUGACAAAGAUAGGCGGAACAAGCCUCCGCACUCAUAGCCUUUUUCAACAAAUUGUCCACACUUAGAAAUUACAACUUUAUUCGAUUCGAAAACCAAUUUAAAACCAUCUCGACAUAAACGGGAACCGCUAACGAGAUUUUUAUUGAUGGACGGCACAUGAUGAACGUUCUUCAGACGCACAGUCUUCCCCGAAGUAAACUUCAGAUCGACCGUACCAACACCUCGAACGAUGGCAUGUGACCCGUUCCCCAUCAGCACGGGUGAAGUCCCUGUUGCCUGAUAAGAAGAAAAUAUGAAGGCGUCAGCACAAACAUGUACAUUGGCACCGGUGUCAAUUAACCAAUCAGGGGAUUGAAAUACUGAAAGGAUGGUAGGAAAAAUACCGUACCCUGAUUCCUUCAUAUCAGUAUCACCGAUGACAACAUUAGCGGACUUGCCGCUCUUCUCAUGUUCGCGCUCCUCAAAACGGUUAGGACACUUCGGAGCCCAGUGAUUAGGAUCACCGCAGACAUGCCAAAGUCCCUUCCCCUUUUUAUGAGAAUUCUUCUUGAAGUUGGUAGAAUAUGAUGGCUUGUUCUUUAUAUCAAACUUGUCUUUACCCUGAGUUUUGUUCUUAUUGUUUUUGAACUUGUUGGGCUGGGAGUUUUUCUUCUGUACCAUGUGGGCACUAGAACCUUCCUCAGCAACGCGAGCACGUGUGUCCUUUGCUCUCGCCUUCUCUUCAACAUCAAGACUACCAAUGAGAUCCGCAACGGAAAACUCCUGUCUCUUGUGUUUCAGGGGAGUAGCAAAAUUCUUCCACGAAGGUGGAAGCUUGGCAAUGAUGCCUCCGGCAACACACACUUGAAGUACUCAAGUUCUUUUGCGAGCGACUGUAUCUCAUGAGCCUGCUGUACAACAGGGCGCUCAUCAGUCAUCUUGUAGUCAUAGAAUUGCUCCAUGACGUACAACUCGUUGCCGGCGUCCGAGGCACCAAACUUGGCCUCGAGCGCAGCCCACAUGUCCUUGCCGUUGUCAAACGACAUAUACGAAUCCACAAUGGAGUCAUCAAGAACACUCAGAAGAGCGCCUUUAAAGAGGGUAUCGAUCUUCUCAAAAGCUUCCAGCUGUGCUGGAUUAAGAUCGCCCUCAGGCUUGCCCUUGAUGGCAUCAUAGCAGCCCAUGGUCUGAAACCAGUAGACUGCUCUCGUGUGCCACCUCUUAUAUUGCGGCCCCUUAAAAGCAGGCGGCUUCAGAUGCGCAGUAAAACCACUCGGAGUAAAUUGCCUAUAAUCAGGUUUUUGGAUUGUUGGAAAUAUGAGCAAAUUACUACGAGAUUUAAUCCGAAUAAACAAAAGAUAAAUCAUGACCACAACAGCAGAGAUUAAACUAAUCAUGCGAACUAGCAUAGCAGAUGAACAUAUCACAUCUAGGACACAUACUAGAAGCAUGAAUUCUACCACGAUCUUGAACAUGAAGGAUAGAAUCACAUACGGUGCAGCGGGUGCAGCACCGCCGGUGUUGACGUUGUCGCCCAUGUCGUCGAGGACGAGGUUGCCGAGGUCGGGGAAGAAGUCGUCGUUCGCGAAGUCGUCGCUACCAGCAGUCGCGCGAGUGCGCUCCCCAAAAACCUGAUCGCCCCUCUCCCGUACAGGAUCAUGAGAGGCGGGGUUCCGGAGGCCUGUUGUCCCUUCUCGCGGUGCACGCCGGAAGGAGGGAUGGAGAAGACUUGCUUGGUGGCGCAAUGAUCUGGAACGGUGUGGUGAGAAACCAUACGAAGCGGCGGCGGCUAGGGUAGACGUCUGCCUGACUAUAUAGUGCGGGUCGGGUAGGUCGUGGGAGUAAACCCCACGUCCGAGUCGUCACGAUCCAAAAGAAUCGAAAACAGUUCAGUAAUUAACGCAUCCGUUAAUUAUCAAUUAAUGACUCAUUAAUUUUCCCAUGCAGCAAAAAUAUAGACAACGUGCAUAGCUCUGCCCUCGGCUCGGCUCAAUCCCGCAACCCGCGGCGCGGCGCGGCGCGGCGCGUCGUGACGAGGCGUGGCGAGGCGAGCGAGUGUAAGUCUCCUCUUCUCAUGCUCAUACAAGUGGUAGAAGAGCUCACCUUAUAAAGAGGUGCAACUCUCUCUCAACUUCUGGGGUGGGACUAAACUUUAACCUCACUCACUCCGUUCACAUGUGUGCAUGAAUGGUCCAAGAGAAUUUCAGAAUUUUAGUUGGGCUUUGAGCCAAAGUCCUACUAGCAAAAUUCCAACAGGUUCAGCCCAUCAACCUGUGAAAGUAAACACCUGUGACUUUGCAAUGUUUAGUUGAGGUAAGGGUAUCCUCAAAAAAAAAAAAGUUGAGGUAAGGGUGGAGAAAAUAACCAUCGAGCGAAUGUGACCACUCAUUCCAAGAUGGUUUACUGAUUUACGUGCGUGGUUCUUCCUGUACGAUCGGACCGAAUGUGCGAGUGUCAAAUCAUCAAACAUCGUCAUCUUUCUCACCGAAAGAUCGAUAGCCCACACUGUCUCGUCAUUUCGUGAUGUACGUCGUUGCCUGAUAUACAUCUUUUUUUUCUGCUUAGUAAAUAAAACUUACAAAACUAACAAGAGGUUGUACAUUGUGUAUGUGUGCACGCGCGCAUCGUGGGGCACUUAUAAGAAGAACAUCUUUCUAGAAAAAUAGACAUAAAAUAGAGCUCCUUGUUUUGAUCAUUUGAUGAUAGCAUCAACCAGCUAAGAUUAGUUGCCUACAUAAUUAAUACCUUCGGAAUGAAAUGAUUGGUUUGGUGCUGAUCAAUGGAGCGCACGUUGUCCUCACCAAUUCUAUAUAGGGCCGUUGGUAGAUGAUUGGGUUGCUAUCAGCGUUUCUCCAUCAAAAUUUUGGGUUUACGACAGAACGAAACGAGAAAGAAAUCACACUAACACAGACGGUUGGAAAAACAAGAGAAAUUGCUACUAUCAAGCUAUCUCUUCCAUGUGUUCUUCAUGCACAUUGUUUGGCUUGCAAGUUUUGGUCUCCUGCCUGUUAUGUUAGCUAGAAGGAGAUAAAGUUCUUGGUCCCCUACGAAAAAUAGGUUUACUUGGGAGGACAAUGGUGUACAGCAUAACCCAAACCUUUCUCAAAACCUAAAGCUCCACACGUUCACAUUGCUCCAUUUGGUCCAUAGGGUAUACCUAACGUGCCAAAUCUUUCCAAAACCUAAUGUGCCGUUCCUUUCCUUCUCAAAAUGUCCACCUUGUUCCAUAAGAUAAAUCCAAAGAUUUCCAACCUAAACCGAGCCCUUCCAAAACCCAACGCUCCACUCCUCCAACGUUCAUAUUCUUUGGACAGAAGAUACACACGAUUGCACCUGUCUCGUUCCUAACAACCAUGUGGAAGAGUGUGAUUAUGUGGGUAGACAUGCAGCUCUGAAUCAAACCGACAAAAAGAAGCCCCUGCCUGAAAGCAAGAGUUCAAUGGAAAUAUGGACUGGUCGCAACGAUGGAUGGUCCCUAAAAACUUACUCUCAAGACCAAGUUAAUUUAUGAUUUUCAUAGUAACUUUGUCGAAACUCAUGUUUCAUUCCUUACUAAACUGGAGUCACUAUCUAAUUAUAAGAAACUCAUUUCAAACAUGCAACAAAUCUGUUGAAUACUUGAAUUAUUGUGCCUCCUUUUUAAGGCAUAAUUUGUGAUUGCCGAACUGUGUUUUUAGGACAAUUUCAUAAUUACCAUGUAAAAUUAGUCACAAAAGUAGACAAAAGUGGUUCAAACACACGCUCGAAUAGGCAAAAACAGAUUAGGCAACACAAGGUUAUCAUAAACCACCACAAUACCAAACUUAGCAAGUAAAGCUGACUUUUUCCUAGACAAGGAAAAUGCAACGCGUAUAUGACAACGAUGUCAGAACAAGCCAGUAAAGGCAAGAACACGAGUUUUCAUCUAGAGAUCACCUCCAGAAACCGAAGAUAACGCCAUCAAGGAGAUGACGUAAGAGCAAUGUCGUUACCAAGUCUAGCCGAUAAAGACCAUAUCGAGUCUUUUGGCUUGGCGCACAAAAUCUAACAUCACUUGAUCCAACCAAUGAAGGCAGACUUAUUCCCGACGAUUGCGUCAAUGUGCAUCUAGAUUUGGCAUCAUCCGAUGACAUGCUAUGAAGGGGUCGCCACUCCGCCCUCGAUGCCCCUGCGACUACCCAUCGGUGCCACCGCCCUGGCUUCCAUGCCAUAAUCCACCGUGAGACAUCCUCUAACGGGCAACCACCAUGAAGGGAGAUCAACAAGAGCCCUACCACCGCCAUCCGUCGCAAGAUCUUUGCUCAUGGCAUCCCCCGGCGGAGGAGGAGGAGGAGGUUGGAGGGAGGUAUGGUAGAGACGCUAACUUCCUUAACUCCAUUUUUUAUGUAAUAAAAAAGAUAGAGAAAUGUGCCAACCAAUCUCUGUAUCUAAAAAUGUACACGACCAACGAAUAUUAUUGACCUUCUGAACGAUGAUAAACAAACCCAUAUUUCCAUUGUUCUAGGCCGUGAGUUGCCAACAAACAUCCCGAUCCUGCCCGGAAUAUUAUCCACCGAAUGACAUCUGAUCCGAUCCCAUUUAACAAGAGCAAACUUGCCAAAAACAAGUCCGUUGGUUCGAUCAAAGCCUCGUCAGGUCCAUGGAAAACGGGCUGUGGCCAGGGUGGAAGAUUCCGGCCGGUCGGCCAGCCGCAGCCAGCCGCGGUGUGGUACAGAGCUACGUGACGCCGACGUACCAACCAAGCGAAGACAACCACCGUCUUCCGAGUGAAAUGAAAUCGACGACUACGUGGGUGCCAAGGCCGCUACGUGACGGCCGCGAACUCUGCUGGGCACUGUGAUAAAAAGUCGUCGAGGUGUCGUCUCCCAUGGCCUUGUUGCAUGCCCACGAAGCAUGUAGUGCUGCACAGUUGUAUAAAAACCGGAGAUGCCGCGUGGGCCACGGAGCUUAUGGUAGAUGUCAUAAAAGAUCAGUGCGCAGCUAGGCAUUUUGCUUGGCCGCUCAUCAAAGUGUUUACGAAGGCAUUGGCUCUGACAAAUGGAUAGCAAAUCUCAUGCUACAUCAGGUAAAAGUGGGCAUUGCCUAAAACCAAAGGUAAAAGUGGGCAUAGUUUUCUUACCAAUUCCUGCGCUGUGUUCGGGAGAUUCCGUUCAGCAGUCGGUUGGAAGAAGGCCUUCACUGUUCGGAAGAAAGGGGGUGCCUAAACCAGCUUGACAUAAUCAUAGACUGAAUGGGUCGUCGACAAAAUGAUUGGGAAUUUUUCCCAGACAAUUUCAAAAUUCCACCACCCGUUGGUUAAUCAAGAGGUGGUGGGUACUAGUAGCAGUACUAGCGAAGCAGCCGCCAUCAGAAAAAACAAUAGCACGAGCCAAAUCAGAAAGACAGCCGCUGCUUGCAAAGCAUGCCNNNNNNNNNNNNNNNNNNNNNNNNNNNNNNNNNNNNNNNNNNNNNNNNNNNNNNNNNNNNNNNNNNNNNNNNNNNNNNNNNNNNNNNNNNNNNNNNNNNNNNNNNNNNNNNNNNNNNNNNNNNNNNNNNNNNNNNNNNNNNNNNNNNNNNNNNNNNNNNNNNNNNNNNNNNNNNNNNNNNNNNNNNNNNNNNNNNNNNNNNNNNNNNNNNNNNNNNNNNNNNNNNNNNNNNNNNNNNNNNNNNNNNNNNNNNNNNNNNNNNNNNNNNNNNNNNNNNNNNNNNNNNNNNNNNNNNNNNNNNNNNNNNNNNNNNNNNNNNNNNNNNNNNNNNNNNNNNNNNNNNNNNNNNNNNNNNNNNNNNNNNNNNNNNNNNNNNNNNNNNNNNNNNNNNNNNNNNNNNNNNNNNNNNNNNNNNNNNNGGACAGCUAAGUUCGCCGGUGAUUCGCUCGUCUAAAGGUCACUCACCUAGCUUCAUUUCGUUGUAUUUCCUCGUGUCUGGAGCCUGAUGGGAGGUUAGUUAGGUGGUCGCCAAUGAUUGAGGAUUACCUGGCUGUGAUGGGAGGAGCUGGCUGGCCACAUUGGUGGCCUUCAGGUGAGAUGGACACGGGAACUCCAUCACAUGCCCCGGUUCAAGCAGCGGCCCCAUCCCUGCCCGGCGAUCCCUGUUGGGGAAGCUGUAGCAUUUCUCAUGCCGCACAUGUAGAAAUCUCCUGCAUGCCAACCGCCAUCGCCGUCGGUCCAGUGCGCGAUGAGCAUGGCACCAGCACGGCGUGGUCGCAAUCGCUACAGGCGGCUACAGGCAAGAACUCGGGGCAGUAUGUUAGUUCAGAGAAUUGAUGAAAUGAAAAUACCAGAACUUACCAUCAACUUCUAGCAUCAUGCCUCAUGGCUCCAUGCUCAAGAUAUUGCAAUGGGGCCUUUCAAGGCAAAUGCACCCCUCGUAUCUUUAUUCUAGAAUGUUAUAAUGUCACAAAGGCACAAAUUAAGUUGCAAACGAGGGCAUUCCGUGCCACAUUAUUAUAGGAACAAAGAGCUUGGUAGCCAUUCGCUGGGCAUUUGAAGAAUGAAAGAACAGAUAGCUAUGGACUAGAUUCCCUCGAGACUUCUUAUCCUCAGCUAAAUGACUAGCAACUUCAGUCUACUUACAUGUGGAACAGUGGAAACAAAGUGUGCCAUUAUUAGACAAAGUUCUAUAUACCAGUUGCAACUGUAGCUUCCGUCGAUCGAUUUCACAGAGAUGCGCCCGACUCCCAGCUCAAGAGUUUGUCACGCUUUGCAGCAGGCGUUGUCUAGGGCUCGGAGGGUAAGAUCAGCAUACUGUUUUUACCAACCGACAAGUCACCAAAAUGAGUCGAAACUGACAUUAUUCUCAUGCUUCCUUCAGACUCUGGCUUGUCUACUCCAAUCUAUGGGCUUGCCUUGAGCAAGAUGGAAGAGAAUGGAGCAAUUCUAUACCCUGAUCCAGUAAGUGGCACCCCUUCCGGUGCAAUAUCGUUUGGUGAUUCCAGGUUGGUAUCCACCUGCAAUAAGGACACAAUAGCAGUUUCAGGCUAAUUAUCCAUUAAACUUGUACUCCGUCCAAUCCAUAUUAAUUGACGCUGCUCUAGUACAAAGUUAGUACAACAUUAUACUAUAGCAGCGUCAAUUAAUAUGGAUCGAAGGGAGUAGCAAGUUCAGAACUAAGCCACUUGCUUCCAGAAAAUUGCAAAAAUCUGUCUUUCUCGGAAAACAUUGUGGAAAAAAAUCAGUAGAUUUAUCCAGGCAAUAGAUGUAGUAGCACGGGAGGAACUAGACAGUAAGACCACCGAGUUACAAAAAGUUAGCAAGACCAAAAGUAUGCAUACCACACGGUUCCAGUGUUUAUGUUGAGGGGCUGGGGGAAUCACAGCAUCCACAGAAUAGUCAUGGGCAUUGAAUGCCAAAUAGAUAUCUCCACCAGAAUUAUGGUCGUGUAUCCUACAUUAAUUGCCAAACAAAACAGUUGAGAAGACAAGAACCCAUUGGCCAUUGCAACCAAAUUACAACAAUACUAUCAUAUGGUCAGAAUGAAUUACACGAUCAAAACUGAAAGCCAAACUUCCUUACGUGAAUGCCAAGAAUUUGCUUUCCAGGUUAUCCCAACAAUCCUCGUGCCAAGUGACAUCAUUCUACAAUCAAGAAAGAUCAGAAUGCAAUGAAAAUCUUUGGAAGAAAAAUCAAACCAAGAGUUGCAUACUUGCAUCCUACAAAAGCUAGGAAUUGUCGUUUCUAACAUGCAAUGCACAAUAAGAGACCAGGGAGAUCACAUACUUAGCAAAUGCUCGACAGAAACUAAUAACCAUAUUUCAGUAAAGGAAGAAAUGUUUAUUUUCAAUACGCCACUGCAAGAACACUAAGAAUUUGAACAUACUUUACUGAGAAACCUGUCCCGUUUCAGUAUUGGGUGGUUCUGACGAAACUUAAUCAUCUCUGAGAAAAACCUGAAAUGGCCAUAUCUUCUUUCCGCCAACUGUAUCACACGGACACGGGGGGAAACAAGUUAGCAUAUAGAUGUGGCACAUCCAUAACACAUUUUGAAUGGAAAACCAAAAUAAUAUGUAACCUGUCCCCACUGGAAAUUAUUUAUGCAGGUAUCAUGUCCAUAGCUAUUAUUGUUUCCAUAACGUGUAUGACCAUAUUCAUCUCCCAUCAACAUCAUCGGGGUGCCCUGUUACAAAAAAAUGUACACAAUUAGCAAUUUUUACAUUAUGCAAUACCACGUAAAAGACCAACUGUGGAGUGAUCAACAAUAAUUACUUGAGAAAUCAUUAAUGCCACAUGGAAGUUCUUCAUUUGUCUCGAACGCAGAGCCAAUACAUUUGAAUCAUUUGUUUCUCCUGUUUGGCAACAAGACCAAAAUAGGUUGUUACCAACAGUUAAUAUGUCAAAUCUUUCAAAAACAAGCAUCGAAUAUAUCAAUAUUUACAUAACAUGAUGGCGUUAAGUGAAACAAACUCAACUAAUGUUCCCUCCAAAAUAUGAUAACCAUCCAUGGUUGUAUUUUUUCCGAGAAAACAGAAAGCUUGCAUUUCGAUGCAUUGAUAUAGAAAGAGUAGUAACCGUAGAAGCCUAAGACUACGCUGAAGCAACCGACCACUCAAGACAAGACCACAACCAACGGUCGCAAGACAGGCAUUACAACAAACAUCACCAAACCAACCCUGGCCUAGAUGCCAUCCACACAAACGGACAGAACACGAUGCCCAUCACAAGAAGAGAGAAUCCAACUCCGCAAAGAAGGGCAGAAUUGGGCUACUCCGCUUUGGAGGCGACAUAGUUGUAUUUGGUCUAAUCGUGAUACAAAAGCUCCAGUACUAAGACUAUGCAUGAGUCCUGUCAAGUGUCAAGCAUACUACAAAAUUAAUUUUAAACUAAAAGAGCAUUUUGUGUUCUCCUUGUUGUGCAAUACUAUACUUCAGUCAAAUAUCUUAAGAACGGCGGCUCUGGAGAUCGCCUCUGUGUGGUUGGGUGUCUCCUCUGGCUGCUUUGGUGGUUGAGUCGUCGACCCAUUGGGUGCGCGGCCUCGGGGCCCGUGUGCUGUGUUGCUGAUGUUUGUAAGCCGGAGGGGCGACUCCGGGUCGUGUGGUAGGGUGUCGACUAGGGUCACUUGGGUGGCAGAGUAGUCGGCCAGUUGGGGGCGCAGCCUCAGGGCCGGUGUGUUUGUAUGGCUCGUUGUAUCGGUUUUCAGCCACUUUUCCUUCCUAACUAGCCAAUUCUCUUCUUAUAUAUGAAAAGGCAGAGCUCCUUGCUUGCUCGAAGAAAAGAAAAAAACUCGCUUUUCAGCUGCUAAUUUCAAUGUGAAGAGCAACGCAUGAUAAUGAGUAAUGAUGGUACCUUCAACACCACAGUUCCAGCUAAAAUUAUCAUUGCAUCCAUCACGUCCACCUUCUCCAUUAGCGUCGUUGUGCUAUAUAAUUUUGGUCGAACAGAAACCAUAUUAACAUAGACACCAGUACUUGUAUAGAAGGACCUUAACUUUAUAGUGUUUUGGUAUACUCAAGUUACCUUUAAGUUGUAUGAAACAAGGUCACAUAAGGUGAACCCAUCAUGUGCUAUUAUAAAGUUCACACCAUGAUGAGGCUUCCGCUGGUUCACCUGCCAAUCAAUAUCACAUCAAAACUUGAUUUUACACGUCAUCCUGUUUUGAACUAUGUAAUCCUAAAUCUUCCACAUAAAAAGAAGUCUCAAAGCUUAUUCACAAGAGGCUCCUAGCACCUCCAUACAUAGAGAACUGGUUUAAAUUUCGAAAUGACAUCUCCAACAAUACCGUUUAGCAUUUGAGUGGAUCUUGGAGGAAUUAAUCAGAAUGAGCAUUGAAAACAGUGCAAUUAGAAUUGCAUACAAAAUAAAUUUGGAGGUUGCAUAUGUUAAUAGCAUAAGCUGCACCCUGAUGACACUAUGGAAAUAGCAAGUGUAUAGUUUCAACUUUCAACAACAAUGAAGGCUUAAGCUCAGGAAUUUCUUUUUCGCAAACACACACAUAAAUGUGUGUUUCCUGUAUUUAGCUUAGGGAUUUACAAAUACUUUAAAAAUUACUACAAAACAUCAAGAAACAGGGCUCCAAAAGAAAUUAUGUAUAGUGAUGAUAUAACCAAGCAAGGAAAAUCUUCAACUGAUGGAUAAAAAGGCAGGCAGGGAAAGAGCGCAUCUGAACAAAAUACCUGGUAGAGAUCAGCAGAUCCAGACACACGAGUUGCCAACACCCCCUUCAUACCAGGGUCACCCUGCAAAAACCCUCGAAAUGAUUAGCGGCAUUCAAUCAUUCAUCAGUGCUUGCAGAAAUAAAAUUGGAAAUAUAACAAAGAAAUUAAUCAGGACAAACUCUUUUGCAGAAGUGCACUCUAAAUUCAGAUCAAACGUUAUCAAAAUCCACUGAUGCUAAAAAGGAAAUAUCUUGGUUUUGUAGGUCUUUGAUGAUUUAGUUAUGAUUGAUUCAAAGACAUUAUGCUAUGGAAAGCAUGAGCGAGUGGAAGCAACAGCAGUCCAUGGAAAAUUGGGUCAGUAAAUUUGAACAGGCCGAGGAGCCUCAUACAUUCUUGAAAAUUCUAUAUUCUUCUGUGGUAAUCUUUCUCUCUGUUCUGGGCUUCUGGCCUUUUUUUAUCUUUCUAAGUUUUAUAUCUAUAACUUGGUUUUUGUCAAUAUAAAUGUAAGAGGAUACUUAUUUUCGCCACGACAAAAAGGUCAUGAACAAAGCCAUCUAAUGAUCUGUCUUAAGAAUAUACGGAAACAAUCGGGAUUUUGGAGAAUGGUAAAGAUCAGGAUCGGGAUUUAGCAAACAGUACCUUGAUGAACCUUCGAAGAUCGUCUCUGUACUUUCCAUUCCAUUCAGCCCACCUACAAGAGCAUUUGAUUAUAUCUUAGAAAUAUUGGCAAUAUUCACCAACAACAUUGAAACAUAUUCAGGUCUUCAUAUAUUUGAAAUUACCGGCAACAACUUUAGGCAACAAAAGGGACCACCAUAUGAAAAGGAGUACAGUUGUUAAGUACUCCCUCCGUCCCAUAAUAUAAGAGCUUUUUUGACACUGCACUAAUGUUAAAAAUGCUCUUAUAUUAUGGGACGGAGGGGGUAAUUUAUAAAUAAUCAUCAGAGCAUUACAUCAGCUAUGUUAGAAAAACAGCAACUCUUUGUGCUACACUAUCAUCGCAAUGUGAAAAUAGUUUAGUGCUAAAGAGGAAACAGAAGUAAGAAAAAUAUACAUAUCCAGUAAUUUCAAUACACAUAGUGCAAAAUUACCUGUCCCAAUUAGGGAAACGCCCUACUAGAUAAAGACCUCCACAAUCCCAAGGUUCAGCAAUUAUCUUGCAUCGAGAUAACACAGAAUCUUUGGCAAUUUCCUGUGACCAGCAAAAUAAACAAUGAAACAAAAUAACAACAAACAUCAUAGGCUGAUAAUUCUACAAAAACACUAAUGCAGGCUAUCAGAUGAACAUUGCAGUCUUGAGAAGGUGUGAUAUAUCAUUUGCAAUUGCAUAAAUGUAAGGGGACAUUCAAAAGGUCACACAUUCAUAGGACCCUCAGGUUCCUCUAAAUCUACUUCAUUAAUGAAGAGCUGAAUAUCUGAUGAUGAAAUUUUGCAUGAUUGAACUAAAUAUCUGCCCGACAAAUAGUUCAACAACUGAGAAAGACAAAGCAAAUACAGCAUACAAUGUUGUGAAGUCAAUAAAUUUCAAGGUGACAUUGGUUCAUGUGAAUUCAUUAGGUCACAAUUUGUAUCUGAUCAACCAUAGUAAGAUAUGGACAAUAGUUAAUCUAAGAACUUAUGUCUUGUGUUUUUAUGAUAUCAAUGAACUUCAUUUGACUAAAAAGAGGAAAAUUGUAUCUCUGAUUUGAAGUUAAACACUACAGUUCUGCAACUAUAAAAUUACCCUGAUGAGUGGAGGAGCAUCAAGAGGACUGCCAUCUGGUCCACGGCAAAGGACACUUGCAAGGUCAAACCGAAAUCCAUCUAUGUGAUACUCCGUAACCCUUGAAGCAUCAAAUAGCCAUGCAAAUAAGAAAACAUACUUAAAAUAUGAUGAAUUCUUUGAAAAAAGAGAUCAUAAGAAAAUACUUGGUCUGAAUUUUGUAUCAAGAUAUGAAUGAACUACAACAGUGCAUUUUUCUUGAUCCUUUGGCUGCCUUGCACUAAUACAUUUAAUAUAGGAUUUGUCAGUGCAUACAAUACUUUGAUAAGGAGAUCCCUAGCGACAUCACUCGUUCAAGGUUGAAAAUACUUAGUCGGUCCACUCACAAAGCACAAGAGUCACCCACCUAGACUCCCAUGAGAAUUGGUUGCUACCUGAUGCUUCUACACCAUGUGUACUAAGGAGUGAGGGAACAAGAAUGAUUGGCAAGCGAGGCUCAGUCUGGAGGCACAGCAAGCAACCGGUCCAACCAGAAACUCAGUGUGGGUUAGACAGGUCACACAUUUUUUUGGUCUAGCCUGUUCCGAUUGAACUGGCUCCUAUUCACUUCGCUGGUGUGAGUGGGUAUAGAAGCAGAAGCCCACCUCUUUUAAGAACAAAUGGAAGUCAUGAGCUUCGCUCCCCUCCUAUGGUUACAGCUUCCAUGUCACCCUAGGAUUGGGAGUUCCGGAGUUUCCCCGCCAAUGUUUUUGUUUCGUGUGCAAGAACCGUUUGUUGGGUGAGUUCUUGCUCAAAGGCUAUGACAUUGGCACUUGUUGCUGGCAUCAAUUGCUCAAGCAACUCGAGUCAUCCAUUCCCAUUGCCUGAAGGCCAGGCCUCCCCGUAUAUUAACUGAAGAAGUCAAGUGACCUCAUCAACUAUAACGUGUCACAACCCAGAUGAUUUGAUGGCUAUGAAUUAAUGUGUGCAGUGUGUACUGCAACAUAGAGGUAGUUUUCAGUAAUUUCAGUCUAUAAGUAUCAUCUUGAUUUGAUCAUAUAGAUCCGACAGUUCAAUUCCACAUGCAUAUUUACUCCCUCCGUCCCAAAAUUCUUGUCUUAGAUUUGUCUAAAUACGGAUGUAUCAAGUCAAGUUUUAGUAUUAGAUAUAUCCGUAUCUAGACAAAUCUAAGACAAGAAUUUUGGGACAGAGGGAGUAUUUACUUGUUAGCACUUGAUUGUGAGAGUGGAACACAUGUAUAAACAGGUGCUAUCGAAGCAUUGACUAUACUGAUUAAUGAAGACUAAAGAGAGGAUCAACAUGAAGAAAGAAAUAUGCAUAAACUAAAAUGCAGUUGCUUGACGUAUAGAACAACAUGCAAGUCGUGCAUACCAAUGUCUCAAGCUGUCGAGUACGAGUUCCAUGACCACAGGAUGGUUGCAGUUUAGUGUAUUCCCUGGAUUAAACCAAGUAUACUGUUAACACUUAGGAGUAGACACAAGUUCCACUUACUUGAAAUUUUAAACGUACCAGAACAUUAAGUACCUAGCCAUCUAAAUGUUAUAUCAACCAGAUAAUUAAGCAGGCUUUCAAUAUUUUUUUAACAAGGUUUCCUUAUAGGUAGCAAUGUGGCAGUCUCACAUCAAUGCAUGGGUUGAGAAAUAUAGUGGCUGCAGCCAAAUAAUGACCAAGUGAGAACUCUUAACCCUUCUACCAGUCAAUAUAGCACCUAACGUGGCUGCAAGGUUCAGUCUGAUGGCAUGACGAAGAUAAUAAAAAUAGAUUGAAUCAACAUUUAUCAUUUGAAAUACAUCACAACAAAGUAGCGGCCAGAUAUGCAGUUUAUUUGCCUAGAAGCACACAAUCGCAAGAUAAAUUAGCAAGGUACGUGGUUAGUAAGUGGAUCAGCAAAACAAGAUACAUUAACAUCCUUAAAAGCCGGAGCAACAAAGAACAUACAAAGCAUCAGGUAGCACCCUAGAACAUGCUCACCUAUCACAAGCACGUCACAAACAAUCAAGUAACAGAAGUUCAGGAAUCAUGGUUUUACCGCAUCCCGAGAAGUUCAGCAGUUGAGAGUUGUUCUUCGGAUCUAACAUGUAAUAAACCUGCAUGAAUGAAAGUAGUGUUUUUGGUAUAAAUCCAUGUAAAACCUGAAGCAGGUGUACACUUCUAAACACAUUGGGAUUUAGAACGGAUUAACUUAACCUGGUCACAAAUUUUACUUAGCCUUCUAAGACCAGUGACUGUCUGACCCAUUAUAAAAUAACAGGUCAAAAGGGUGGAGUGAGCAAACCCAUACACAAAUUCUGAGUUAAGCAGCCCUAUUCCGAUUCUAACCUAGUCCUCUUCAACCCGGAACAAAACACAACCUACACAUUAGAACUAAGAAAAGAUAGAGUGACAAGCAGAUAGGUGCCUUCGUCGGCUAUAACUCAAAUAGAUAAAUCACCUUGUUGUCGAUGCCACGAAAAGAAGUAACAUAAGGAUUAGCGUCAUCUGCUUCAUUUGUAUGGUUGUAAACGACAUCCAGAAUAACCUACACAAAAUGAUGAUACCACUAAACACAUGUUAUCAUGUGGGAUGAAUAAGAAUGCUACAAUAGGUUGCCAUAUCUACUGGAUGUCAAUACCUCUAUACCAGCUUUAUGCAAUGCCUUGACCAUCUGCUUGAGCUCUCUGGAAGCAGCCAAUGGUCCACCACCAGCACUUGCAUAGCGGGUCAUGGGAGCAAAAAAAUUGAUUGUAGAAUAACCCCAUGUAUUGACCUUCCAAUUGAGAAGAUGAAAAGUCAUUCCACAAUUGAUUCCACUGAUGAACCAUAAUGAUGACAUCAUGCACAAAGUGGCAUAUCGGAAUUUUUACCAUGUGGUCCCUUGGGUUAGGGUACCUCUUCAACUCCAGCUCAUCAAACUCAAAAACAGGUAGCAACUCCACUGCAUUAACUCCGAGUUCAAGCAAAUGCGGGAUCUACAAAACCGCAACUAUUGCAUGCAUAAGUCAUUAAACAAUAGGCUUGAAGCCUUGAACACUGAAAGCUAAUAUGCAUAUCAGGUUCCCAAAACUAGAUCACUAAAAUAAUAGUCGGAAUAUAUUUAUUUCGCUAAUAACUUCCAGUAAGGACCAAACAAAUAAUUGUUGUUACAAGCCACACAAUAAGAAGAAAUUAAAACUUACUUUGUCGAUGAAUCCUAGGUAGCUUCCGCGAACAGCUGCAUCAAGCCCACUUGACUCAUCCGCAGUGAAAGCGCGAACGUUCAUUUCAUAUAUAACUAGAUCUGUCUAGAUUAAAGAACAUAAGAAAAGCAGUGAACUUCAUGUUUGGGAUGCUUUCUGCAUUUAUUCUAUGAAAUGAUUCUAGUACCUCAGGCAAAUGUGGAAGCUGGUAAUCAGCACCCCAGUCAAAAGGAGAGCUAUCAAAAUCAUAUGUUCCAAAAGGCUGGCUGGGCUUCCCGUUAUCAACCCCAAAGUAAUUUCGACCAGAAACUAGUUUCGCGUAAGGGUCAAGAAGAAUAAUGUUGCUAUCAAACCUAUGGCCUUGUUCCCAUCCUUGAGGACCAUUAACACGAUAUCCGUAAAGAACUCCAGAAGUGGGCAACCCCUGAAAGUACAGUUAUAGAAGGCUUCAUUCAGCAUAUAUGCAUGGGAAAAUACAUAGGAGCAAAAUAGGCACAGAUUUCUCCUCCUAACUAUAAAUAUUGUAAAGAACAUAAGGAUGUGUUUUCAGCCAAGACCAAAAGAGAACAUAAGGAUUUCUCCUCCCAACAAUAAAUAUUGUAAAGAACAUAAGGAUAUGUUUUUCAGCCAAGACCAAAAAAUAUAGAUGUUCGCCGGCGUUCUGGUGGCUCCGCCUCCGGCGGUACGAAUCUGCGUUCCCUUCCGGCUCCGGAUUGCCGGCGGCCAUCCUUCCAUCUGCAUAGGCUCUCUACCCCGCUGCCUCUCCGACCCCGUCCGCCUACACGCCAUGUCGGUUCCAAAGCUCGCGUUUUUCGUCGGCAACAUGUGCAGCCCCACCCCCAUCAGAGGUAGUGGUCGACAUGCAGGUUGUCUCCGACAUCUUUGGAUCCUGAUUUGGCGGCUUUGAGAUUGCUUGGACUAGGCCAGGCGAAAUCCAUGCUCGGUUUGCCGAUGCAGGUCGUUUCCCUUCUUGGAGGCGCUGCCAUGGCCUUUGUCCGUGCACCCCUUCGAGUAUGAGGGGAAACCCUAGGUCCGGUUCUCCGGAUCGGAUGGCGACGACGUCACGACAUCAUUCCCCUUCUUGAAGGCGCUAUCUUGCUAGCUCAUGGUGUCCCGGUGUUGGAAUUGAAGAUUUUUUAUUGAAGGGUUUUUCUCCCCGAUUUCAUCCAGAAACCACAAAAAUCCUUGCAGUCAUGCUAGAAGUGACACAGUGAGAUAGCCAAAGUUAUGAGGCUACACUACUCAGUAGUGCAUUUUGUUUCCCUUUAUGAAUGAGUUACGUGAUAAGACCAGUGCUUUCAAAAUAUAUGAUUCUCAUAAAAUUAAAUCUUGUUUUGAAGAAUAUGCAAUACAGAUACACAUGAGACGAAUGAUGGGAUUCUUGUUCCAUAAAUGCCAGCCACACCAAGUUGUCAAUACUGAAAAGAAUAAUGCCUUAUCUUCGAAGGUACAGAUAACAUCAAAGCUUCAUAACAAUACCUCCACCGACACAUGCCAUAUAUCUCCAGUUUUGUUCUUCUGGCAAUCUAAAGCAAACUCCACAACUUUUUCACUUUCUUCAUCCUUGGUUCCUCUGCAGGGCAAUCCAGUAUGUCAGACGUUGAGACGAAUCAUAUUUCAUUGGAAAGAGAAUGCGAGAUGAACAAGCUAAAGCACAAUGCUGAUCAGCAAAAGGUUAUUUCAACCAGGCCAACACCCCAGAUCAACUAACAAAAUGCAAAAUGGCAACCUGGGAAACAAAUAAACAUCGUUUUGUGCACGAUCUGCAACAUACACAAACAGUUGAUCAAAGUGCGACGUAAGGAUGUGUUUUGGCUUUAUGAACAACUUGUUUUGCGGAAAACCAGGAUUCACGAGUCCUGGCCUAAAAGGCAAAAACAGUUUAACUUAAGUGACACUGAAAGCAACAAAACCACACAAUUUAGGAAAGGUUGUCUGUACCUCUCAGGAAGCUUGAUGCAGAGGGUGACAGAAGAAGCAUUUUGAGAGAAAAUCGCAAAGUUGAGACCACUUUCAACCUGCGACACUCCUAGAGGGGAUGCUUUGCCGGAAGAAUAUUUCAAGGGCAUUUCGGUACCCGCCGUUGCGCUUUCCCUUUCCUGGCGGUGUUGCAGAAUGAACAUACACUUUAGCAAAAAUAACAUGGUACAGAAUGAGGAAUAAGAAUACGCAGCAUCAUACAGUUAAUGAAUACAAACAUAUUCGCUUAGCGUGAAGUUUUACCAGGAUGAUAGCUCACGACAUGCCAAAUGACCAUGAAUGUAUAUCAAACAAACAGUUCAGUACACUGGUAGCUAAAUGGAUCGACGAACAAAUACAGUGUACUAUACAACCAUACGGGGCAUGAACACUUGAGUGUGGGGCGAUACCUCGGUCACAAUUCUCCCAGCAUUACCAGUCUGAGCUCCCACCGAGGUACUCCGCACGGACCUAAAUCGCUGUGCCUGCACCACGACAAAAUCCGCUCUGAUCAAUCCACCAAUUAGAGCAGAGGAAUGGAUGCACGCCGCGAAAAACAAAAGUACGAAAUCGAGACACCUGCCUUUCCGAAUUGCCCUCCUCCGCACCCGGGCGCGACCCCAAGCCUGCUCGCUGCCACACUGCACGGGAACCACGACCAAACACAUGCAUCGUUCAGCGCGGCCGCACGGCAGGAAAGCAACAAAAUGCAGCGCGGCGAAACGAGGUCUCGCGAAGAGAGAGGUUAAAAACCCACCGGUUAGGAAGCGCGGGGCGGACGGAGCUGCUGCUUCGGCGCGCGGUGGCGGCGGCGGCGGGGCGCAGCGGGGAGCGAUUUGUAGAGGCCGCCGAAUCCAUCCAAAUGCGGGGGUGCUGGGACGGGGUGGCGGGAGGGAUUUGGCUCGGGGCCGGGGCUUAGUUAUAGGGGCUCGUGGACACGGUCAUGGGGCGGCUCGCGGCUCUCGAGGUCGAGGGAGUGGAGCGGCGAUGGGGAGCGCAAGUCGGAGCAGGAGGAGAAGGAUGCGGUGAUCUCACCUCGGGGAGGGCGCGCGGAGGAAUGGGGGCGCGGGGGCGACGGAGAUGGGUGAUGGACACGUGGUGUCGCAUGCGCGGGGCGGGGGCGGCGGAUAGGGAAGUGGAGUGGACGGAGGACCUUGGCUCCCUUCCGGCCCCGACGUGUGGUGUCGUCUCGUCAUGUGCUUUCCAUACAACAGUUACCGGUGGUCUCAGUAGACGAGAAACGGUCGAAAUCACGGACAGAAGAGGUGGGAAACUUGCUUUACCGAAAAAUCUGAAAAUAAUUAUCCACGUAUCUUUAUCUUUACCUCCUUACCUAUAUAUAUAUAUAUAUAUAUACUAAUAUAUAUAUAUUAUAUAUAUAUAUAUAUAUACUAAUAAACCACGCAUCGCUUCUGGUGGUACGUCAUAAAAACAACCCUCGAAGUUGGCAAUAAUUACCCACCAAUGCCACCCGUAAGUGGCAAAAACGAUUCGUUUUUAAUUUCUAAUAUCGCUCCAGGGUUCUGUUAU